This 418-nucleotide unclassified non-coding RNA is filed under the name Hevea brasiliensis (rubber tree). The record is from RNAcentral. Lineage: Eukaryota; Viridiplantae; Streptophyta; Magnoliopsida; Malpighiales; Euphorbiaceae.
GUUGGGGUUUUUGAAUGAAAAUGCAAAGAGAUAUAUUCGGCAACUCCCUCCUUAUCAUCGUCAAUCUUUCACUGAGAAGUUUCCAAAUGUCCACCCAGCAGCUAUUGAUCUUGUUGAAAAGAUGUUAACAUUUGAUCCCAGACAGAGGAUUACAGUUGAAGAUGCACUCGCUCAUCCCUACCUAACAUCACUUCAUGACAUCAGCGAUGAGCCAGUCUGCUUGACCCCCUUCAGCUUUGAUUUUGAGCAGAAUGCAUUGACCGAAGAGCAGAUGAAGGAGCUGAUUUAUAGGGAGGGUCUUGCAUUUAACCCUGAGUAUCAGCACCAAUAUUAAUGAGUACUAAUGAUAUCUAUUCAAUGUGGAUUCAAAUCAGUGUGGUUUUUGUUAAUUGCAUGUUUUUCAGUGAUCUAUUUCUUC